UACGUAGGGUGCAAGCGUUAAUCGGAAUUACUGGGCGUAAAGCGUGCGCAGGCGGUGAUGUAAGACAGGUGUGAAAUCCCCGGGCUUAACCUGGGAACUGCAUUUGUGACUGCAUCGCUGGAGUGCGGCAGAGGGGGAUGGAAUUCCGCGUGUAGCAGUGAAAUGCGUAGAUAUGCGGAGGAACGCCGAUGGCGAAGGCAAUCCCCUGGGCCGGCACUGACGCUCAUGCACGAAAGCGUGGGGAGCAAACAGG
RNAcentral lists this ribosomal RNA (253 nucleotides) under uncultured bacterium. RNAcentral describes it as "partial 16S ribosomal RNA". It matches the Rfam family "Bacterial small subunit ribosomal RNA", at positions 524 to 776 of the family's 1533-position model. The record is from RNAcentral.